This is a long non-coding RNA of Perca fluviatilis (European perch), 1167 nucleotides long. RefSeq lists it as uncharacterized. The record is from RefSeq and is a predicted model, not a curated record. The transcript is spliced from 2 exons. NCBI's taxonomy places the organism in Eukaryota, Metazoa, Chordata, Actinopteri, Perciformes, Percidae.
GGACCGGCUGUGCAAUCUGAUAUUAUGAGCCCCGCCGCACACAGAGAGAGAGGAGAGCCGGGGCUUGAAAUAGCACUCAAAAAAACACACGGGCGAGGCAAACACAGGAGACGGACGAACAGACCAAAGUGUGUUUUUGGUGAAUUUGAUUCCGUGUCAUCGACGGCAGGACUCAGAUUUAGCUCAUUUUGAAUUCAACUUUGUGGCGGAAUAGUUGAAGAUUCGCGGAGGCUGUGUGUGUGUGUGUGUGUGUGUGUGUGUGUGUGUGUGUGUGUGUGACAUCCUGUAACGAUGCGGAGUAGAAAUAACACGCACAAAAAAAAAGGCGCCACAGUUGUGACAGAAACCCCCAUCAAGUUGGCUCAGUCUUUGUCUAAAAAGAAAGAAGACGUGCAAGAGAUGGGCAAAAUGCAAGGACACCGGAGCAGGGCCGAGAGUUAUCCCGGGGGAUUAAAGCUCAACCAACUUAUCCCUAACCCAACCUGACCCCGCGGCCACACCAACACACUCGGCAGGGUUCACGCAGAGUUGAGCGAUGCUGAUGCAGAUUUCUGCGAAAGGGCCUGUUGAUGAAGAUGAUGGUGGUGAUGAUGAUGAUGAUGAUGCGGAGGAGGCGGGACAGUUGGGUGGAGGUAUAGCAGCGCCCUCCUUCCUGCCACACUAACCCCUGUCUGAACCCGGGACAUGUCUGUCCCACGGGUUUUUUCCUCACCCCCAAACUGUCACGUUUUCCGAUCGUCGGUGACACUGAGUUUCUCCCCCCCCCGCCCCCCCGCAGCCGCCCAGUCUCCCAAAUAGUGUUUUCCUUUUGCAAAUGGAUGCAGCGUUUCCCUUUUCUUUUUGUCGUCCCCUUUCCCUCCGAGCCAAUAGUUCAGUCUGAAGAAAGAAUAGGGAGAAUUAAGACACAUAUGACAUAUAUUUUGAAUACAGAGUUGUGCUGCUACUAGUGAAAAUAAUAAUAAUACAUUUAUUUUAAAUCUCUGUGUAGUUGAAUCUUCCAAAAUUCCAUUUUCUGGGUUCAUAAAUGUUUCAUAAAUCAUUUCAUAUUCAUUCUUUUCUACAUUUUUGUGUGCUUCUAAGAUGUUUUUUGCCUUUAUAUUGUUGUUGAAGUGCAGAUCAAAUUUUCCCUUUGAGGGUCAAUAAAGACCUCUGAACUCUGAACUGAAA